ACCCCGUGGAGGACCGAACCACGUUGCUGUUGAAAAAGCAUGGGAUGAGCUGUGGAUAGCGGAGAAAUUCCAAUCGAACCCGGAGAUAGCUGGUUCUCUCCGAAAUAGCUUUAGGGCUAGCGUCGAGUAUGAGUAGUGGAGGUAGAGCACUGAAUGGGCUAGGGGGCAUAGCGCUUACCGAACCUUAUCAAACUCCGAAUGCCACAUACUUUGAGCUCGGCAGUCAGACUACGAAUGAUAAGAUCCGUGGUCAAAAGGGAAACAGCCCAGAUCGUCAGCUAAGGUCCCAAAGUGUAAGUUAAGUGGGAAAGGAUGUGAGAUUUCUAAGACAACUAGGAUGUUGGCUUAGAAGCAGCCACUCAUUAAAAGAGUGCGUAAUAGCUCACUAGUCGAGAGAUCUUGCGCCGAAAAUGUAACGGGGCUAAACUUACCACCGAAGCUACGGGCUUGAACAUAGUUCAAGCGGUAGGAGAGCGUCGUAACCGGGCUGAAGUCGUACCGUAAGGAGCGGUGGACUGGUUACGAGUGAGAAUGUUGGCAUCAGUAGCGAGAUGUGGGUGAGAAUCCCACAGGCCGAAAACCUAAGGUUUCCUCAGGAAGGUUCGUCCGCUGAGGGUUAGUCGGGACCUAAGCCGAGGCCGAAAGGCGUAGGUGAUGGACAACUGGUUGAUAUUCCAGUACCACUACCAUCGUUAUUAUCGAUGGCGUGACGCAGGAGGAUAGUGUGUGCUAGCUAUUGGAUGCUAGUCUAAGCGUUUAGGCAGUGAGAGUAGGCAAAUCCGCUCUCAUAAUGCUGAGGCGUGAUGGGGAAGGUUCUACGGAACCGAAGUACAUGAUUCCACGCUGCCAAGAAAAGCGUCUAGAGAGAGAAGUAGUGCCCGUACCGCAAACCGACACAGGUAGGUGAGGAGAGAAUCCUAAGGCCGGCGGAAGAAUUACAGUUAAGGAACUCGGCAAAUUGACCCCGUAAGUUCGCGAGAAGGGGUGCCUACGAGAGUAGGCCGCAGAGAAUAGGCCCAAGCAACUGUUUAGCAAAAACACAGGUCUCUGCUAAAGCGAAAGCUGAUGUAUAGGGGCUGACGCCUGCCCGGUGCUGG
Molecule: ribosomal RNA, 1097 nt
Filed under: Finegoldia magna
Lineage: Bacteria; Bacillati; Bacillota; Tissierellia; Tissierellales; Peptoniphilaceae
Description: partial 23S ribosomal RNA
Rfam family: Bacterial large subunit ribosomal RNA
Source: RNAcentral